AUGGAUACUGAGAAAGGCAAAGCAGCGAUAUCAGAUAAUGCCGAGGACCAUUCUGUUCAAAGAUCUUCAAACAUCAAACAUGUUGAAGAGUUUCACUUUGGGAAAGCAUUGGCAUUCAGAGCAGUGUAUGGUUCUAGUGGUUUUCAAGGCAGUAGAAGCAGAAAAACUAGAGGCAAUGUUUCCAAUACAUCAUCCCCAAGCAGGCUCAGUAAGGUCACAUACACAGUAGUUGUUGACGAUGACAAAGAUAACUAG
Non-coding RNA from Vicia faba (fava bean), 255 nucleotides. The record is from the annotation of a GenBank genome assembly. Lineage: Eukaryota; Viridiplantae; Streptophyta; Magnoliopsida; Fabales; Fabaceae.